This 205-nucleotide long non-coding RNA is filed under the name Salvia miltiorrhiza (redroot sage). RNAcentral describes it as "long non-coding RNA (SMIL_LNC000867)". Lineage: Eukaryota; Viridiplantae; Streptophyta; Magnoliopsida; Lamiales; Lamiaceae. The record is from RNAcentral.
UCCAUUACUUGUUGUUUGGUUUGGGUAAUGACUUAACCAUUACCCUUACUUGAGGGUAACCCAAUCACCCAAUUUGUUACCCCUCAAAAUAGAGGGGAAACAAAAGAAAGGGAAUCCCUUACUAAUGAUUCAUUUCCAUUGUUAAACCAAACACUCAAUAAAAGUAAUGGUUAUUGUUACCAUUCCACUCCUUUAUUUGAUUCCA